CGGGAAUUUUGGGCAAUGGGCGAAAGCCUGACCCAGCAACGCCGCGUGAGGGAUGAAGUAUUUCGGUAUGUAAACCUCGAAAGAAUGGGAAGAAUAAAUGACGGUACCAUUUAUAAGCUCCGGCUAACUACGUGCCAGCAGCCGCGGUAAUACGUAGGGAGCAAGCGUUGUUCGGAUUUACUGGGCGUAAAGGGCGCGUAGGCGGCGCGGUAAGUCACUUGUGAAAUCUCUGAGCUUAACUCAGAACGGCCAAGUGAUACUGCUGCGCUAGAGUGCGGAAGAGGCAACCGGAAUUCUUGGUGUAGCGGUGAAAUGCGUAGAUAUCAAGAGGAACACCUGAGGCGAAGGCGGGUUGCUGGGCCGACACUGACGCUGAUGCGCGAAAGCCAGGGGAGCAAACG
RNAcentral lists this ribosomal RNA (401 nucleotides) under uncultured bacterium. Its description in RNAcentral is "bacterial SSU rRNA". It matches the Rfam family "Bacterial small subunit ribosomal RNA", at positions 356 to 774 of the family's 1533-position model. The record is from RNAcentral.